This 460-nucleotide ribosomal RNA is filed under the name uncultured bacterium. RNAcentral's name for it is "partial 16S ribosomal RNA". It matches the Rfam family "Bacterial small subunit ribosomal RNA", at positions 338 to 795 of the family's 1533-position model. The record is from RNAcentral.
CCUACGGGGAGCAGCAGUGAGGAAUAUUGGUCAAUGGACGAGAGUCUGAACCAGCCAAGUAGCGUGAAGGAUGACUGCCCUAUGGGUUGUAAACUUCUUUUAUAUGGGAAUAAAAUGUUCCACGUGUGGGAUUUUGUAUGUACCAUAUGAAUAAGGAUCGGCUAACUCCGUGCCAGCAGCCGCGGUAAUACGGAGGAUCCGAGCGUUAUCCGGGUUUAUUGGGUUUAAAGGGAGCGUAGGUGGAUUGUUAAGUAAGUUGUGAAAGUUUGCGGCUCAACCGUAAAAUUGCAGUUGAAACUGGCAGUCUUGAGUACAGUAGAGGUGGGCGGAAUUCGUGGUGUAGCGGUGAAAUGCUUAGAUAUCACGAAGAACUCCGAUUGCGAAGGCAGUUCACUGGACUGCAACUGACACUGAGGCUCGAAAGUGUGGGUAUCAAACAGGAUUAGAUACCCGAGUAGUC